RNAcentral lists this ribosomal RNA (571 nucleotides) under uncultured Geodermatophilus sp. Its description in RNAcentral is "bacterial SSU rRNA". It matches the Rfam family "Bacterial small subunit ribosomal RNA", at positions 335 to 916 of the family's 1533-position model. Lineage: Bacteria; Bacillati; Actinomycetota; Actinomycetes; Geodermatophilales; Geodermatophilaceae. The record is from RNAcentral.
ACUCYUACGGGAGGCAGCAGUGGGGAAUAUUGCGCAAUGGGCGAAAGCCUGACGCAGCGACGCCGCGUGGGGGAUGACGGCCUUCGGGUUGUAAACCUCUUUCAGCAGGGACGAAGCGAAAGUGACGGUACCUGCAGAAGAAGCACCGGCCAACUACGUGCCAGCAGCCGSGGUAAUACGUAGGGUGCAAGCGUUGUCCGGAAUUAUUGGGSGUAAAGAGCUCGUAGGCGGUUSGUCGCGUCGGCUGUGAAAUCCCGRGGCUCAACCUCGGGUCUGCRGUCGAUACGGGCGGACUGGAGUACUGCAGGGGAGACUGGAAUUCCUGGKGUAGCGGUGAAAUGCGCAGAUAUCAGGAGGAACACCGGKGGSGAAGGCGGGUCUCUGGGCAGUUACUGACGCUGAGGAGCGAAAGCGUGGGGAGCGAACAGGAUUAGAUACCCUGGUAGUCCACGCCGUAAACGUUGGGCGCUAGGUGKGGGGGCCAUUCCACGGUCUCCGUGCCGCAGCUAACGCAUUAAGCGCCCCGCCUGGGGAGUACGGCCGCAAGGCUAAAACUCAAAGGAAUUGACGG